This 484-nucleotide ribosomal RNA is filed under the name uncultured bacterium. RNAcentral's name for it is "partial 16S ribosomal RNA". It matches the Rfam family "Bacterial small subunit ribosomal RNA", at positions 30 to 507 of the family's 1533-position model. The record is from RNAcentral.
AUUGAACGCUGGCGGCAGGCCUAACACAUGCAAGUCGAGCGGAUGAAGGGAGCUUGCUCCUGGAUUCAGCGGCGGACGGGUGAGUAAUGCCUAGGAAUCUGCCUGGUAGUGGGGGAUAACGUCCGGAAACGGGCGCUAAUACCGCAUACGUCCUGAGGGAGAAAGUGGGGGCUCUUCGGACCUCACGCUAUCAGAUGAGCCUAGGUCGGAUUAGCUAGUUGGUGGGGUAAAGGCCUAUCAAGGCGACGAUCCGUAACUGGUCUGAGAGGAUGAUCAGUCACACUGGAACUGAUACACGGUCCAGACUCCUACGGGAGGCAGCAGUGGGGAAUCUUCGACAAUGGGCGAAAGCCUGAUCCAGCCCUGCCGCGUGUGUGAAGACGGUCUUCGGAUUGUAAAGCACUUUAAGUUGGGAGGAAGGGCAGUAAGUUAAUACCUUGCUGUUUUGACGUUACCAACAGAAUAAGCACCGGCUAACUUCGUG